This 282-nucleotide ribosomal RNA is filed under the name uncultured bacterium. RNAcentral's name for it is "partial 16S ribosomal RNA". It matches the Rfam family "Bacterial small subunit ribosomal RNA", at positions 1088 to 1365 of the family's 1533-position model. The record is from RNAcentral.
CGCNAGGAGCGCAAUCCCCUAUUUGUUAGUUGCCAUCAUUUAAGUUGGCACUUCUAGCGAGACUGCCGGUGACAAACCGGAGGAAGGUGGGGAUGACGUCAAAUCAUCAUGGCCCUUAUGUCCAGGGCAUACACACGUGCAUACAAUGGCGGUGACAGUGGGAAGCGAAGGGGUGACCCGGAGCUAAUCUCCAAAAGCCGUCUCAGUUCGGAUUGCACUCUGCAACUCGAGUGCAUGAAGUUGGAAUCGCUAUAAUCGCGGAUCAGCAUGCCGACGGUGAUA